UACGGAGGGUGCAAGCGUUAAUCGGAAUUACUGGGCGUAAAGCGUGCGUAGGUGGUUCGUUAAGUCCGUUGUGAAAGCCCCGAGCUCAACUUGGGAAUUGCAGUGGAUACUGGCGAGCUGGAGUGCGGUAGAGGAAGGUGGAAUUCCGCGUGUAGCAGUGAAAUGCGUAGAUAUGCGGAGGAACACCGAUGGCGAAGGCAACUCCCUCGGCCUGCACUGACGCUCAUGCACGAAGCGU
Molecule: ribosomal RNA, 238 nt
Filed under: uncultured bacterium
Lineage: Bacteria
Description: partial 16S ribosomal RNA
Rfam family: Bacterial small subunit ribosomal RNA
Source: RNAcentral